GAUCAUGGCUCAGAUUGAACGCUGGCGGCAUGCCUUACACAUGCAAGUCGAACGGUAACAGGUCUUUCGGGAUGCUGACGAGUGGCGAACGGGUGAGUAAUACAUCGGAACGUGCCUAGUAGGUGGGGGAUAACUACUCGAAAGAGUGGCUAAUACCGCGUGAGAUCUAUGGAUGAAAGCAGGGGACCUUCGGGCCUUGUGCUACUAGAGCGGCCGAUGGCAGAUUAGGUAGUUGGUGGG
Molecule: ribosomal RNA, 240 nt
Filed under: uncultured bacterium
Lineage: Bacteria
Description: partial 16S ribosomal RNA
Rfam family: Bacterial small subunit ribosomal RNA
Source: RNAcentral